UGGUUGAAGCACCGACCAAGUACCUGGAU
This 29-nucleotide non-coding RNA is filed under the name Mus musculus (house mouse). The record is from RNAcentral. Lineage: Eukaryota; Metazoa; Chordata; Mammalia; Rodentia; Muridae.